Molecule: ribosomal RNA, 253 nt
Filed under: uncultured bacterium
Lineage: Bacteria
Description: partial 16S ribosomal RNA
Rfam family: Bacterial small subunit ribosomal RNA
Source: RNAcentral
UCUGGAGGGCGCAAGCGUUGUUCGGAAUCACUGGGCGUAAAGCGCGUGUAGGCGGCUUUGCAAGUCGGGUGUGAAAUCCCGAGGCUCAACCUCGGAACUGCACUCGAUACUGCUUGGCUCGAGUCCCGGAGAGGGUGGCGGAAUUCCCGGUGUAGGGGUGAAAUCCGUAGAUAUCGGGAGGAACACCAGUGGCGAAGGCGGCCACCUGGACGGUGACUGACGCUGAGACGCGAAAGCGUGGGGAGCAAACAGG